GACGAACGCUGGCGGCGUGCUUAACACAUGCAAGUCGAACGGUGAAGCGCCUUCCUUUUUGGUGGGUGGGGAUGGGUGGCGGAGGGGGGAGUAACACGUUAGUAACCUGCCACCUUCUGCUGGAUAACCGCAAGGAGGUGUUGCUAAUACGGGAUAUUCUGAAUCUGUCGCUUGAAAGGUGUGAGACGGUUUUUGUGUCGGUGAGAGAUGGACUCGCGGCGUAUUAGCUGGUUGGUGGGGUGAUGGCCUACCAAGGCGGCGAUGACUAGCCGACCUGAGAGGAUGGUCGGCGGCAAUAGUGCGACGGCGACAUGGCGAAGCCUCCGACGGGAGGCAGUAGGGGGUAAUAGGGCACAAUGGGAGGAAGGCUGAUGCAGCGACGCGGCGGGAGUGAUGGAGGUCGGCGGGUUGUGAACCGUUUUCGGGAGUGAAGAAGUCUUGCCUUGUCUGUGGGUGGGUUGACGGUAGCUGGAUAAGAAGCGCCGGCUAACUACGUG
Molecule: ribosomal RNA, 497 nt
Filed under: uncultured bacterium
Lineage: Bacteria
Description: partial 16S ribosomal RNA
Rfam family: Bacterial small subunit ribosomal RNA
Source: RNAcentral